Molecule: non-coding RNA, 73 nt
Organism: Myotis brandtii (Brandt's bat)
Lineage: Eukaryota; Metazoa; Chordata; Mammalia; Chiroptera; Vespertilionidae
Source: Rfam
GCCUGUUUGGCUCAGUGGAUAGAGCAUUAGCCUGUGGACUGAAGGGUCCCAGGUUCAAUUCCGGGAAAGGGCA